Long non-coding RNA from Stylophora pistillata, 4759 nucleotides. NCBI's taxonomy places the organism in Eukaryota, Metazoa, Cnidaria, Anthozoa, Scleractinia, Pocilloporidae. The record is from RefSeq and is a predicted model, not a curated record.
AGACCCUGGGUCUCCGAGGAUGGGAACGAGGCCACCAGACAAAGAAGAACAGCAAUAAAACAGUACUGGAAUAAAAUGUCAAACGAUCUGAAAAACAAUCCUAAAGCAUUUUUCAAGACCUUCAAGCCAUUUUUGAGUUCUAAGAGCUGUAUCGAAAGAAAUGACAUCCACUUUAAAAUGACAAACGGUAGUAAUAUGAUAACGAAUCAACAACAGGUGGCUGAGGAAUUGGUUGAGCAUUUUGCUACCUUGGCGGAUGGCAUCGGAGGCACAGCGAUUGAAAAAAAGUCAAUUGAGGGCUUUUGGGAUCACCCUUGUGUUCAGAGGAUACAGCAUGAAAACAGGGACUUCACACAAACCAUUGAAAUCAAACCGGUCACACAUGGUCAAGUCCUCGCAGCUCUCGAUUCGCUGAAUACAAACAAAGCCACCGGCACUGAUGGCAACCCUUCCAAGGCCUUAAAAGUUGGUGUCGAGGAAUUAUCCGCUCCAUUAACCACCUUGUUCAAUUCUUGUAUCGACAACAAUGCAUGGCCCUGCGAAUGGAAGUUUGGGUAUAGGGCUCCAGUGUACAAAAAAGAUGACAGGACUGUGAAGGAAAACUACCGGCCCAUAACACUCUUUCCUUGUGUAAGCAAAGUUCUCGAGAAGCUGGUUAGAGUGCAGAUCAACUCCGCUUUGGGAAGCCGCUUUUAUCAGAACUCAUCUGCCUAUCGCAAAGCUCACAGCUGCGAAACAACUUUGAUCAAUCUAGUAGAAGAUUGGAGACUCGCAAGGGAUCCAAGACAGGUUCGAAAUUGCCUAUGUAUGCAGACGACCACCAGAUUUACCAUGCAGGUGCAGAUCAGGCAGCUAUCAUAUCCCAGUUAAAGGAUAGUGCCAACUUAGCAACAACGUGAGGCUGCCGACGAUGUCAAAGUUACAAUCGUGGUGGACAAUCCUACUAAAGUUCAUGAAUUCACUCCCGUAGUAUACCUACACUGGAACUAAUCCUGUCCUGAUGGUGCCCCAUUGAAGAAGUUGAUUACUUUUUAAGCCACAAUGGUGCCGACACAUACAUUGGGUAUACAGCCGACAGAGUGAUCAGAGUCUCACUUAGUUUUCCUUCACGGGAUCGUUUUUCGAUCGAGCGGCCAGCCACUUUGAUAAUCUGCAAUGUAAGUGUUGUCGAUGCAGGGACGUAUACUUUAGGAGUUGAGCUGGAGUCAGUGAAAAGAACCUAAAGCUUAAUCGACCUGACUGUUCUUGUGCCUGUCAAGUUUGUUAGUGCACCAAGUGACCAGACUAUCAAUAAAACAGACACAGUAACAUUUUGUCUGUAAUGUUAGUGGUGUUCCAGCCCCUGUAAUCAAGUGGCAGAAGGAUGGAGGAGCUGUUGGUACAGGAGACAUGCUUAGCUUUCCAGUCUAUAGGAAUCAAUCAGGAUACUACUGGUGCUCAGCUGAUAACGGCUUGAGUGUGACUGUCAGUGCCAGUGCUUACCUUGAAGUGCAAUACAAGCCAAAUGGGAUGAGUUUUACAUCCAGCCCAACCAACACUACUGUACUACGUGGUAGGAACAUGGUGUUAAGCUGCAAAACAGAUGCCAACGCUGCACCACAUGUGUAUCACUUUUAUUUUAAUGCUACCUUUAUUGGUGUGAACAACUUGAGUACGUACAUGUAUACUGUCACAGUUCAAACAGAUGGAGUGUACACUGUGUACGUUUGAAUGCAGUUGGUACUGGUGACAAUACCACCAUUGCUGUCAUAACAGUGGAUGCGCCUUUAGUAGAUGUUUUUCCUGCCACAACCUAUGUCAAAGAAGGAAACAACAUCACAUUGUCAUGCAAUACAUCUGGAAAACCAGCACUUGUUAAAGCAUGGACAAAAGUUGGCUCAUUACAAGUUCUUUCUCACACUUCUUUGUUGUCAGUUGUCAAUGUGACCAGACCUGGGAGAGUAGACAACAUGAUCCAGUAUUGAUGUACGGCCAGUAAUGGAGUGGAGACACCAGCCACAGCCACAGUCAACAUCACUGUCCAUUAUUUACCAAAGGCAGUAGCUCUGUUAACAACUCCAGUCAAUGCUACAGUGCUAUGUGAUAGUGCAGUGAUGCUGAAGUGUGGUGUAGAUGUCAACCCUGAUGCUCGUACUUACAACUUCUACUUUAAUUUAAUGGCAACUUUAUUGGUAACAGUAGCUCUGGUGUGUUUAACAUCAGUGUGAAGGAAGAUGGAGAGUACGUGUGUGUUCCUGAAAAUACAGUAGGCAAAGGAAGCAAUGCUAGUGUCAGCAUCACUGCUGUAGUGGCUCCAUCAGUGCAUGUGUCAGUCUUGGUAAUGGUUAUAGAAGAUGGAGGUAACAUUUCAUUGAGCUCUAAUGUAUCCGGUAAACCUAACCCCAGCAUAUCAUGGACAGGAAUUGGUGGUUUGGAUGUUCUCUCUCUUUUACCAUCAUUAACUAUUAUGAAUGUGACCAGACCUGGACAGCAGACAACAUGAUCCAGUAUCAAUGUAUAGUCAAUAAUGGAGUGGGAACACCAGCUACAGCUACAGUUAAUGUCAUUGUUCACUUUCCCCCUGGUAUUGACCAUGCCCCAUCAGCUUAUCAAGUUGUAGAAGGAAGUGGGGUGACCCUGUUCUGUAAUGCUACUGGAAAUCCAAAGCCUGGCAUAACUUGGACAAAAGAAGGAAACAGCUAGUGAACUGUCCACAUCAGAGGCUCUUACUCCGACAAAACUGAUAAAAGAAGAUGAUGGGUCUGUUUACAAAUGUACAGCAGCAAAUUCCGUGGGAUUUAAGCUCAAUAUACUUCCCAAGUUACUGUCUUUUACCCACCACAGCCUUCCAUACAACUUUGCCCUAGUCCAGUAACUGAAGGAGACAAUGUAACUUUGUACUGUAAUGGGACUGGCAAUCCAUCACCUCACACAGCCUGGAUAAAGUCUGGAAAGACUCUGGCGACAGAUAGUGUUUAUGUUAUAACAACAAUUAACAGAAAUCAGGCUGGAAUGUACCAGUGAGUGUAUGGCUUGGAAUGGAAUCAUCAGAAAUGUUACUUUGAACUGCACCAUUGAUGUUCACUAUGCUCCAACAUCAAGCAUGAUUACAACUGUUCUUACAAACACAACAGUGUACAGUGUACAGUGAUGCUGAAGUGUGGUGUAGAUACCAAUCCUGCUGCUCAUACAUAUAACUUCUACUUUAAUGGCAAACUUAUUGGUAACAGCAGCUCUGGUGUGUUUAACAUCACUGUGAAAGAAGACUGAGAGUACACUUGCAUUCCUAUCAACAGUGUAGGUGCAGGAAGCAAUGCUACUGUCCGUAUCAUGUCUGUUGUGGCUCCAUCAGUGCAUGUGUCAAUCUCUGCAGUGGUUCUAGAAGAAGGAGAUAACAUUUCAUUGAGCUCUAAUGUAUCUGGUAAACCUGAACCCAGCAUAUCAUGGACAAGAAUUGGUAGUUCCAAAGUUCUCUCUAGUACCAUCAUUAACCAUUGUCUGUGAAUAUGAACAGAUCGACCCAGGACAGCCGACAACAUGAUCCAGUAUCGAUGUACAGUCAGUAAUGGAGUGGGUGUCGAGUUAUUCAAGAGACAACAACGUGCUUGCGUUCAUAAACUGCCAUGUUUUAUUCUCCUCCCCAUUUCUCCAGUGCACAUGCCUAAAUACCGAACAACACACGCACGUGACACAUAAGAUCAAAGUUCAGUAACACAACAGUGGGGACACCAGCUACAGCUGCAGUUAAUGUUACUGUUCACUACCAACCACAGCCAGCCAUACAACUUUGCCCUAGUCCAGUAACUGAAGGAGACAAAGUAAUGUUAUAUUGUAAUGGGACUGGCAAUCCAUCACCUCACUCAGCCUGGAUAAAGUCUGGAAAGGUUCUGGUGACAGACAGUGUUUAUGUUAUAACAGCAAUUAACAGAAGUCACGCUGGAAUGCACCAGUGCAUGGCCUGGAAUGAAAUCAUGAGAAAUGUUACUUCUAACUACACCACUGAUGUUCACUAUCCUCAAACAUCAAGUGUAAUUACAACUGCUCCCACGAAUACUUCAGUGCUACGCAAUAGUACAGUGAUGCUGAAGUGUGGUGUGGAUGCCAUUACCCUGAUGCUCAUACAUAUAACUUCUACUUUAAUGGCAACCUUAUUAGUAACAGCAGCUCUGGUGUGUUUAACGUCAUUGGGAAGGAAGAUAGAGAGUACGUACACUUGUGUUCCUGUCAACAGUGUAGGAGCAGGAAGCAGUGCUACUGUCAGUAUCAUUGCCUUUGACCUACUACAACCUUCAAUACAACAUUGUUCCACUCCAGUAAAUGAAGGAGACAAUGUAACAUUAAACUGUAAGGGAAAUGGUAAUCCAUCACCUCGCACAGCCUGGAUAAAGUCUGGAAAGGUUCCUAGUGACAGGCAGUGAUUAUGUUAUGACAACAAUUAACAGAAGUCAGGCUGGAACAUACCAGUGUAUGGCUUGGAAUGGAACUACGAGAAAUGAAACCUCUCACUGCACUGUUGAUGUUCACUAUCCACCAACAUCAACCAUGAUUACAGCUGUUCCUCACAUACACUAUACAGUGCUACAUGGUUGUAGAUUGGUGCUGAGGUGUGGUGUGGAUGCCAACCCUGAUGCUCAGACAUAUAAAUUCUACUUUAAUGGCAACUUUAUUGGUAGCAGUAGCUCUGGUGUGUUAAACAUCAGUAUGAAGGAAGAUGGAGAGUAUACUUGUGUUCCUGUCAACAAAUUAGGCAUAGGAAGCAAUGGCAGUGUCAGUUUGAAUG